GACGAACGCUGGCGGCGUGCUUAACACAUGCAAGUCGAACGGCAAGGCCCUGCUUUCGUGCGGUUCUCGAGUGGCGAACGCGUGAGUAACACGUGUGUAACCUGCCCUAGACUUUGGGAUAACUUCAGGAAACUGGGGCUAAUACCGGAUAGGAUCUCCUCUUGCAGGGUGGGGGUUGGAACGUUUCGGCUGGUGGGGAUGGACUCGCGGCUAAUCAGCUUGUUGGUGGGGUAGUUGCUUACCAAGGCUUGGACGGGUAGCCGGCCUGAGAGGGUGACCGGGCACAAGGGGCCUGCGAUACGGCCCAGACGCCUACGGGAGGCAGCAGGGGGGAAUAUUGCACAAUGGGCGGAAGCCUGAGGCAGCAGCGCCGCGUUCGGGAUGCCGGCCUUCGGGUUGUAAACCGCUUUCGCCUGUGACGAAGCGUGAGUGACGGUAAUGGGUAAAGAAGCACCGGCUAACUACGUG
RNAcentral lists this ribosomal RNA (468 nucleotides) under uncultured bacterium. RNAcentral describes it as "partial 16S ribosomal RNA". It matches the Rfam family "Bacterial small subunit ribosomal RNA", at positions 28 to 507 of the family's 1533-position model. The record is from RNAcentral.